This 264-nucleotide ribosomal RNA is filed under the name uncultured Symbiodinium. RNAcentral's name for it is "partial Eukaryotic large subunit ribosomal RNA". It matches the Rfam family "Eukaryotic large subunit ribosomal RNA", at positions 73 to 332 of the family's 3401-position model. Lineage: Eukaryota; Dinophyceae; Suessiales; Symbiodiniaceae. The record is from RNAcentral.
GAUUCCCUCAGUAACGGCGAGUGAAGCGGGAAUGGCUCAAGCUUGAAAUCUCCGUUGCUUGCAACGGCGAAUUGUAGUCUCGAGAAGCGUUUUCAAGGCGGACGCGCCGUGCCCAAGUUGUUUGGAAAGGCACAUCGUAGAGGGUGACAAUCCCGUGCGAGGCGCGGUGCGCUGUCCACGAGGCGCUUUCGAUGAGUCGGGUUGCUUGGGAGUGCAGCCCAAAAUGGGAGGUAAACUCCUUCUAAAGCUAAAUACUGGCACGAG